AUGGAGCGGCUGAGAGCCCUUCGAGGUCUCUUUGCUUGUGUGGGCUGCAUGCCCAGAUGUACGCGUCGUCGCAGGGGCAGAGGCAGGGUGGCGAGCUCCGUCCCUGCCUGUCCCGUGACGUUGCUGCUGCAGCGCCUGCAAGACAAGGAGGGUGACCGAGCGCAGACGUACGGCGAGCUGGAGAGUGCCCUGUGGGAAGAGGUCAGCCGCCCGCCGUGCGGAGUGGUGAACCGGCUGCUGGCAGAGGUGUCCCAGGACCUGACGGCGGCCCAGGGCGCGACAGACAACCUGAGGAUGGCUGCCAGCAAUGUCCUGGUGGCUCUGGCCCGCUCGCACUUCAGCUUGGUGAUGGCCGAGCUCCAGGGCCACCUGAAGGCCGUGGGGGAGAUGUGCAAGGAGUUUGUGCUCAUCACCCUCAGCAAGCUGUUCAGCAGCUACGCUCCGCAGUGCAUCGCCUUCAUGUGCCUGACCCUGGCCAGCCUGCGCAGUGUGGCCGGCCAGGUGAGGAGCGGCCGCACCCUGCGCGUCGCUUGUGCUGGUGAGUGCCGGCCCCUGGGCAGGGGGGCUC
Molecule: long non-coding RNA, 568 nt
Filed under: Numida meleagris (helmeted guineafowl)
Lineage: Eukaryota; Metazoa; Chordata; Aves; Galliformes; Numididae
Description: lncRNA (ENSNMEG00000018505.1)
Source: RNAcentral